RNAcentral lists this ribosomal RNA (494 nucleotides) under uncultured bacterium. RNAcentral describes it as "partial 16S ribosomal RNA". It matches the Rfam family "Bacterial small subunit ribosomal RNA", at positions 28 to 507 of the family's 1533-position model. The record is from RNAcentral.
GACGAACGCUGGCGGCGUGCUUAACACAUGCAAGUCGAACGGUGAAGCGCCUUCCUUUUUGGUGGGUGUGGAUGAGUGGCGAACGGGUGAGUAACACGUGAGUAACCUGCCCCCUUCUUCUGGAUAACCGCAUGAAAGUGUGGCUAAUACGGGAUAUUCUGGGUCUGUCGCAUGAUGGGUCUGGGAAAGAUCUUGUUUCGGUGGGGGAUGGGCUCGCGGCCUAUCAGCUUGUUGGUGGGGUGAUGGCCUACCAAGGCGGUGACGGGUAGCCGGCCUGAGAGGGUGGACGGUCACACUGGGACUGAGACACGGCCCAGACUCCGACGGGAGGCAGCAGGGGGGAAUAGUGCACAAUGGGCGCAAGCCUGAUGCAGCGACGCCGCGGGAGGGAUGGAGGCCUUCGGGUUGUGAACCUCUUUCGCCAGUGAAGCAGGCCUGCCUCGUUUGUGGGUGGGUUGACGGUAGCUGGAUAAGAAGCGCCGGCUAACUACGUG